UACAUAAGGUGCGAGCGUUAUCCGGAAUUAUUGGGCGUAAAGCGUUCGUAGGUGGUUUAUUAAGUCUAGGGUUAAAGCCCGGAGCUCAACUCCGGCCCGCUUUAGAUACUGAUAAACUAGAGUUAUAGAGAGGUAAGUGGAACUCCAUGUGUAGCGGUGGAAUGCGUAGAUAUAUGGAAGAACACCAAUGGCGAAGGCAGCUUACUGGAUAUAUACUGACACUGAGGGACGAAAGCGUGGGUAGCAAACAGG
This 252-nucleotide ribosomal RNA is filed under the name uncultured bacterium. RNAcentral's name for it is "partial 16S ribosomal RNA". It matches the Rfam family "Bacterial small subunit ribosomal RNA", at positions 524 to 776 of the family's 1533-position model. The record is from RNAcentral.